This 253-nucleotide ribosomal RNA is filed under the name uncultured bacterium. RNAcentral describes it as "partial 16S ribosomal RNA". It matches the Rfam family "Bacterial small subunit ribosomal RNA", at positions 524 to 776 of the family's 1533-position model. The record is from RNAcentral.
UACGAGUGCCUCAAGCGUUAUCCGGAAUCAUUGGGCGUAAAGGGUGCGUAGGUGGUUGUAUUAGUCUUCUGUUAAAUUCUUCGGCUUAACCGGGGGCAUGCAGAGGAAACGGUACAACUAGAGGAUGCGAGGGGUCUGCGGAACUCAUAGUGUAGCGGUGAAAUGCGUUGAUAUUAUGGGGAACACCAAAAGCGAAGGCAGCAGACUGGAGCACUCCUGACACUGAAACAAGAAAGCGUGGGUCGCGAAUGGG